RNAcentral lists this ribosomal RNA (495 nucleotides) under Triodontella sp. DA3044. RNAcentral describes it as "partial 16S large subunit ribosomal RNA". The stretch from base 370 to 495 matches the Rfam family "Bacterial large subunit ribosomal RNA", at positions 2473 to 2600 of the family's 2925-position model. Lineage: Eukaryota; Metazoa; Arthropoda; Insecta; Coleoptera; Scarabaeidae. The record is from RNAcentral.
UUUAAGGUCUAACCUGCUCAAUGAGUUAUUAAAUAGCCGCAGUAUUUUGACUGUGCAAAGGUAGCAUAAUAAUUAGUUUUUUAAUUGGGGGCUGGAAUGAAUGGUUGGACGAGAAAGUUUCUGUCUCAUUAUUAACUUUUUUGAAUUUUAUUUUUAAGUAAGAAAGCUUAAAUUUUUUUAAAAGACGAGAAGACCCUAUAGAACUUUAUAUUUAGUUUAAUAUAAAUUAUUUGGUUAAUUUAAAAUUAAUAUUUAAUUAUUUAUUUUAUUGGGGUGAUAGAAAAAUUUAAUUAACUUUUUUUAAUGUUUUACAUUUAUUUAUGAUUUUAUGAUUAAUAGAUUUUUAUUAUAAGUUUAAGUUACCUUAGGGAUAACAGCGUAAUCUUUUUUAAAGUUCUUAUUAAAAAUUAGGAUUGCGACCUCGAUGUUGGAUUAAAGUUAAUAUUUGGUGUAGAAGCUAAAUAAUUAGGUCUGUUCGACCUUUAAAAUUUUACA